Molecule: long non-coding RNA, 897 nt
Organism: Cicer arietinum (chickpea)
Lineage: Eukaryota; Viridiplantae; Streptophyta; Magnoliopsida; Fabales; Fabaceae
Source: RefSeq, a predicted model, not a curated record
GGGUACUUUUUUUUUGCCCUUCCGAAAAGAAUGAAAUGCAUAGAGACCAUCCUUUUGCUGUGUUGCGGCAUGCUCCUCAUAUUUACAGAUUAGCAAGGGGCCGCAGGCCCUACUUAGUUUAUUGUUGGCAUUUAUCAUGAAAAAAGUGGGCGCUGACGGCUCGGCCCCGUUGUUUUAUUCCUACACGGCUCGGCCCCGUUUCUAGUACAAAAAUUCAGCUCAACAAAGAUGGUAUGUUACUGAUGAAACUAGUCAUGACUUGCUUAUAGGAAUAUGUAGUUGAAGCUCCUGCCUUAUAUAAAGAAAACAAGAGUCUAAAAGCCAGCUUCUUGAAGUGCAGAUUUGCUAUCUGAGUUGAUUAGAAGAGAAAAACAAGCAAAGAUCAAACUAGAACCAGAUAUUGAUGUCUUCAUGAAGGCAGCUGCAGCUGGAGGCCAGUAGGAAAGUCUGAUAAUAGAUUAUAUGCUGAAGAUCUUGGGGUUGGAUGGAAUGCGGCGAGGUAUCUCGGGCGGACAAAGGAAGAGAGUUACAACAGGAGAGAUGUUGGUUGGAGCAGCAAAAGUUCUAUUAAUGGAUGAAAUAUCUACUGGCUUGGAUAGCUCCACAACUUUUCAAAUUGUGAAAUCUAUCAGACAAUCUAUUCACAUUUUUGUAGAACUGCAGUUAUCUCUUUGUUACAGCCAGCACCAAGAGACUUAUGAACUUUUUGAUGACAUUAUUAUUUUAUCUGAUGGUCAAAUUGUCUACCAAGGACCACUUGAACAUAUUCUUGAAUUCUUUGAUUCUCUUAGUUUCAAAUGUCCUGAUAGGAAAGGUGUUGCUGACUUCCUUCAAGAAGUAAGUCAAAAGUUUUAAUUUUUUAUUAACAUUAUGUAUGUGAGUAUUCGUUUGUUACAA